RNAcentral lists this ribosomal RNA (462 nucleotides) under uncultured Cellulomonas sp. Its description in RNAcentral is "bacterial SSU rRNA". It matches the Rfam family "Bacterial small subunit ribosomal RNA", at positions 920 to 1382 of the family's 1533-position model. Lineage: Bacteria; Bacillati; Actinomycetota; Actinomycetes; Micrococcales; Cellulomonadaceae. The record is from RNAcentral.
CCCGCACAAGCGGCGGAGCAUGCGGAUUAAUUCGAUGCAACGACGAAGAACCUUACCAAGGCUUGACAUACACCGGUAACGCCCAGAGAUGGGUGCCCCUUUGUGGUCGGUGGACAGGUGGUGCAUGGUUGUCGUCAGCUCGUGUCGUGAGACGUUGGGUUAAGUCCCGCAACGAGCGCAACCCUCGUCCUAUGUUGCCAGCGGGUCAUGCCGGGGACUCAUGGGAGACUGCCGGGGUCAACUCGGAGGAAGUGGGGAUGACGUCAAAUCAUCAUGCCCCUUAUGUCUUGGGCUUCACGCAUGCUACAAUGGCCGGUACAAAGGGCUGCGAUACCGCGAGGUGGAGCGAAUCCCAGAAAGCCGGUCUCAGUUCGGAUUGGGGUCUGCAACUCGACCCCAUGAAGUCGGAGUCGCUAGUAAUCGCAGAUCAGCAACGCUGCGGUGAAUACGUUCCCGGGCCUU